Molecule: transfer RNA, 73 nt
Filed under: Nitrospirota bacterium
Lineage: Bacteria; Pseudomonadati; Nitrospirota
Description: Nitrospirae bacterium (sediment metagenome) tRNA-Ala
Rfam family: tRNA
About the family: Transfer RNA (tRNA) molecules are approximately 80 nucleotides in length. Their secondary structure includes four short double-helical elements and three loops (D, anti-codon, and T loops). Further hydrogen bonds mediate the characteristic L-shaped molecular structure. tRNAs have two regions of fundamental functional importance: the anti-codon, which is responsible for specific mRNA codon recognition, and the 3' end, to which the tRNAs corresponding amino acid is attached (by aminoacyl-tRNA synthetases). tRNAs cope with the degeneracy of the genetic code in two manners: having more than one tRNA (with a specific anti-codon) for a particular amino acid; and 'wobble' base-pairing, i.e. permitting non-standard base-pairing at the 3rd anti-codon position.
Source: RNAcentral
GGGGCUGUAGCUCACUUGGGAGAGCGCUUGAAUGGCAUUCAAGAGGUAGACGGUUCGAUCCCGUUCAGCUCCA